GCCGGAGUGACGGAAUUGGCAGACGUACUUGACUCAAAAUCAAGCGCCCUCAAAGCGUGCCGGUUCGAGUCCGGCCUCCGGCACCA
Molecule: transfer RNA, 86 nt
Filed under: Bacillota bacterium
Lineage: Bacteria; Bacillati; Bacillota
Also listed under: 3 other names
Description: tRNA-Leu
Rfam family: tRNA
About the family: Transfer RNA (tRNA) molecules are approximately 80 nucleotides in length.
Source: RNAcentral